RNAcentral lists this ribosomal RNA (674 nucleotides) under Fusarium oxysporum f. sp. vasinfectum. RNAcentral's name for it is "SSU rRNA". It matches the Rfam family "Bacterial small subunit ribosomal RNA", at positions 291 to 931 of the family's 1533-position model. RNAcentral also lists the same sequence under 2 other names. Lineage: Eukaryota; Fungi; Ascomycota; Sordariomycetes; Hypocreales; Nectriaceae. The record is from RNAcentral.
GCCUAACGGCUGAACUGGCAACUUGGAGAAGUGGCAAGUCUUCCAGUAUGGGGAGCAAAACAGCUAUGGGUCAAGUCCGAUAUCUUUAGGAGAAGUCUUAUUGUGAGGGCGAGUUAUAUAACACCAUAGGACUGGCCGUCCCAUAUGAAAAGAUUAUAUUAGAAUUGAAUGAAGCUUUGUUUAUAUAUUGAUAAUGACAGUAUAUAUAUCGUGUCUUGACUAAUUGCGUGCCAGCAGUCGCGGUAAUACGUAAGAGACUAGUGUUAUUCAUCUUAAUUAGGUUUAAAGGGUACCCAGACGGUCAAUAUAGCUUAUAAAAUGUUAGUACUUGACUAGAGUUUUAUGUAAGAGGGCAGUACUUGAGGAGGAGAGAUGAAAUUUCGUGAUACCAAAGGGACUCUGUAAAGGCGAAGGCAGCCCUCUAUGUAAAAACUGACGUUGAAGGACGAAGGCACAGAGAACAAACAGGAUUAGAUACCCAAGUAGUCUUUGCAGUAAAUGAUGAAUGCCAUAGGUUAGAUUGAUCAAUUAUAGUCUAGGGUUAGUCUAGCAAACUAAUGCCCUAUGAUAUAAUUCAAAAUAUCUGGUCUAUAAAUGAAAGUGUAAGCAUUUCACCUCAAGAGUAAUGUGGCAACGCAGGAACUGAAAUCACUAGACCGUUUCUGACACCAGUA